RNAcentral lists this ribosomal RNA (746 nucleotides) under uncultured archaeon. RNAcentral describes it as "bacterial SSU rRNA". It matches the Rfam family "Archaeal small subunit ribosomal RNA", at positions 128 to 872 of the family's 1478-position model. The record is from RNAcentral.
AACCCCGGGAAACUGGGGAUAAUUCCGGAUACGCAUAUAUGCUGGAAUGCUUUAUGCGUAAAAUGGAUUCGUCUGCCCAAGGAUGGGUCUGCGGCCUAUCAGGUAGUAGUGGGUGUAAUGUACCUACUAGCCGACGACGGGUACGGGUUGUGAGAGCAAGAGCCCGGAGAUGGAUUCUGAGACAUGAAUCCAGGCCCUACGGGGCGCAGCAGGCGCGAAAACUUUACAAUGCUGGAAACCGUGAUAAGGGGACACCGAGUGCCAGCAUACAUAUGUUGGCUGUCCGGGUGUGUAAAAUACACUGGUUAGCAAGGGCCGGGCAAGACUGGUGCCAGCCGCCGCGGUAACACCGGCGGCUCGAGUGGUGAUCGUGAUUAUUGGGUCUAAAGGGUCCGUAGCCGGCCGGAUCAGUCUUUUGGGAAAUCCAACAGCUUAACUGUUGGGCUUUCAGGAGAUACUGUCUGGCUCGAGGCCGGGAGAGGUGAGAGGUACUUCAGGGGUAGGAGUGAAAUCUUGUAAUCCUUGAAGGACCACCAGUGGCGAAGGCGUCUUACCAGAACGGGUUCGACGGUGAGGGACGAAAGCUGGGGGCACGAACCGGAUUAGAUACCCGGGUAGUCCCAGCCGUAAACGAUGCUCGCUAGGUGUCAGGCAUGGCGCGACCGUGUCUGGUGCCGCAGGGAAGCCGUGAAGCGAGCCACCUGGGAAGUACGGCCGCAAGGCUGAAACUUAAAGGAAUUGGCGGG